CAGGACGAACGCUGGCGGCGUGCUUCAUACAUGCAAGUCGAACGAGAAUCUGACUUCGGUCAGAGGAAAGUGGCGGACGGGUGAGUAAAAUGUAGAGAAUCUGCCCUUAAGCGGGGGACAACAGUUGGAAACGACUGCUAAUACCCCAUAUGCGCGUAGCUGAGAUGCUAUUCGUGAAAACUCCGGUGCUUAAGGAUGAGUCUGCAUCUGAUUAGCUAGUAGGCGGUGUAAUGGACCACCUAGGCGACGAUCAGUAGCUGGUUUGAGAGGAUGAUCAGCCACAAUGGGACUGAGACACGGCCCAUACUCCUACGGGAGGCAGCAGUAGGGAAUUUUGCGCAAUGGGGGAAACCCUGACGCCAGCAACGCCGCGUGAUUGAAGAAGCCCUUCGGGGUGUAAAGAUCUGUCAGUGGGGACGAAACUUGACGGUACCCACAGAGGAAGCAUUGGCUAACUCCGUGCCAGCCGCGGC
This 473-nucleotide ribosomal RNA is filed under the name uncultured bacterium. RNAcentral describes it as "bacterial SSU rRNA". It matches the Rfam family "Bacterial small subunit ribosomal RNA", at positions 25 to 518 of the family's 1533-position model. The record is from RNAcentral.